CGGGUGAGUAACGCGUGGAUAACCUGCCUCACACUGGGGAUAACAGUUAGAAAUGACUGCUAAUACCGCAUAAGCGCACAGUGCCGCAUGGUACGGUGUGAAAAACUCCGGUGGUGUGAGAUGGAUCCGCGUCUGAUUAGCCAGUUGGCGGGGUAACGGCCCACCAAAGCGACGAUCAGUAGCCGACCUGAGAGGGUGACCGGCCACAUUGGGACUGAGACACGGCCCAA
RNAcentral lists this ribosomal RNA (230 nucleotides) under uncultured bacterium. RNAcentral's name for it is "partial 16S ribosomal RNA". It matches the Rfam family "Bacterial small subunit ribosomal RNA", at positions 103 to 334 of the family's 1533-position model. The record is from RNAcentral.